Arvicola amphibius (Eurasian water vole) is the source of this 611-nucleotide long non-coding RNA. RefSeq lists it as uncharacterized. NCBI's taxonomy places the organism in Eukaryota, Metazoa, Chordata, Mammalia, Rodentia, Cricetidae. The record is from RefSeq and is a predicted model, not a curated record. The transcript has 4 exons.
GUGCAGGAGAGCCCAUCAAGUGCAGUUUUCCUGUGUCUCUGAGGGCGGGGCUUCCUUCCUGCUGUGAACCGGCGUAGGAAUCACCGCUCAGCUUUCCGGUCUUGGUUUUCCACUCUUGUGAGGUCUAUGUGAUUCCAUCAGGGCAACUGACUUCCUAAUUAGUGUUUAAUAACAAUUCCUGGAACACUUGUGAUGCCAAUCCACGCAUCAGCUAGCCUUUCCACUGGAACUCCUCAAUGAGAGGCUGAGGUCACAGGUUUCACUAAGCCCCUUCUCAGCGGUGAAGAGGCAGUCAAGCCUACCUUCUACUUGGUGCUCCUGUAGGCCGGACGGACCCCAGACAAAUCAUCAUCAGAGAAGGGGAACUGGAUAGGCAUGAAUGUAAUUGGAGAUACAAGAAAGAAAUCAAAAAAAUUCCACCUGUUUAAUGAACAAGUCUAGAUAAAAUUAAAACUCUUAAAUGAGGAGGUUUAAGGGAAAUGAUUGCAAUAGUUUGAUGACCAGUAUGCUGCUCUGUUUGUUGUAUUGAUGGUUUAUUUUUUUGAGUUAACAAUCAGCAAGUCUUACAUGGGAUUUGUUGACACAGAACUAAAUAUUUCUUGAAGACUUUC